GAUGAACGCUAGCUACAGGCUUAACACAUGCAAGUCGAGGGGCAGCAUGAAGUUUGCUUGCAAACUUUGAUGGCGACCGGCGCACGGGUGAGUAGCGCGUAUCCAACCUUCCCCUUACUAGGGAAUAGCCCGGCGAAAGUCGGAUUAAUGCCCUAUGUUCUCCUUUGCGGGCAUCUAACGAGGAGCAAAGAUUCAUCGGUAAGGGAUGGGGAUGCGUCUGAUUAGCCAGUUGGCGGGGUAACGGCCCACCAAGGCGACGAUCAGUAGGGGUUCUGAGAGGAAGGUCCCCCACAUUGGUACUGAGACACGGACCAAACUCCUACGGGAGGCAGCAGUGAGGAAUAUUGGUCAAUGGGCGCGAGCCUGAACCAGCCAAGUAGCGUGCAGGAAGACUGCCCUACGGGUUGUAAACUUCUUUUGUACGGGAAUAAAGUGCGUCACGUGUGACGUUUUGCAUGUACCGUACGAAUAAGGACCGGCUAAUUCCGUGCCAGCAGCCGCGGUAAAAC
RNAcentral lists this ribosomal RNA (509 nucleotides) under uncultured bacterium. RNAcentral's name for it is "bacterial SSU rRNA". It matches the Rfam family "Bacterial small subunit ribosomal RNA", at positions 28 to 526 of the family's 1533-position model. The record is from RNAcentral.